CCUACGGGUGGCAGCAGUGGGGGAUAUUGGGCAAUGGAGGCAACUCUGACCCAGCAACGCCGCGUGAAUGAUGAAGUUUUUCGGAUUGUAAAGUUCUUUUCUCAGGGAAGAAGAAAUUGACGUUCCUUUAUGAAUAACCCUCGGCUAAUUACGUGCCGGCAGCCGCGGUAAUACGUAGGAGGAAAGCGUUAUCCGGAUUGACUGGGGGUAAAGGGGGCGUAGGUGGCUUGCCAAGUCGGUAGCGAAACCCCGGGGCUCAACGUCGGAACUACUACCAAAACUGUUGGACUCGAGUGCAGGAGAGGCAACUGGAAUUUCUAGUGUAGCGGUGGAAUGCGUAGAUAUUAGGAAGAACACCGGUGGCGAAGGCGAGUUGCUGGACUGUAACUGACACUGAGGCACGAAAGCGUGGGGAGCAAACAGGAUUAGAUACCCCAGUAGUC
RNAcentral lists this ribosomal RNA (443 nucleotides) under uncultured bacterium. RNAcentral describes it as "partial 16S ribosomal RNA". It matches the Rfam family "Bacterial small subunit ribosomal RNA", at positions 338 to 795 of the family's 1533-position model. The record is from RNAcentral.